UAUAAUUCAUGUCCUGCUGCAUCUCAUUUGUAAAGGCACAUUGACCAUUAAUAUGGUCACCACCGCAUAAAUCGCAAAGUUGUUGAGCCUGAGAAAUAUUUCUAAGUCCCCGAGGAAGUUCGGAGAUGAUCUUUGUCAACUUGUCCAAUUUCUGGCUGAGGAGGUGAUUCUGUGCGGCUGCAGCGUCUUCAAUGGGAAGAUGUAGGAGUCCUCCUUUUUGCAUGCCCC
RNAcentral lists this long non-coding RNA (228 nucleotides) under Vigna radiata. RNAcentral describes it as "long non-coding RNA (VRAD_LNC011959)". Lineage: Eukaryota; Viridiplantae; Streptophyta; Magnoliopsida; Fabales; Fabaceae. The record is from RNAcentral.